AACGAACGCUGGCGGCAUGCCUAACACAUGCAAGUCGAACGAGACCUGCGGGUCUAGUGGCGAACGGGUGCGUAACGGGUGGGAACAUGCCCUUAGGUUCGGAAGAACUCCCCGAAAGGCGUGCUAAUACCGGAUCAUGUCUUCGAACCAAAGAUUUAUCGCCUUUGGAUGGGCCCGCGUUGGAUUAGCUAGUUGGUAGGGUAAAAGCCUACCAAGGCGACGAUCCAUAGCUGGUCUGAGAGGAUGAUCAGCCACACUGGGACUGAGACACGGCCAAGACUCUUACGGGAGGGAGCAGUGGCGAAUAUUGGAAAAUGGGCUAAAGCCUGAUCCACCAAUGCCGGGUGAGUGAUGAAGGUCUGGGGGUUGUAAAGCUCUUUUACACGUGAUGAUAAUGACGUUACCGGGAGAAUAAGCUCCGGCUAACUCCGUG
RNAcentral lists this ribosomal RNA (433 nucleotides) under uncultured bacterium. Its description in RNAcentral is "partial 16S ribosomal RNA". It matches the Rfam family "Bacterial small subunit ribosomal RNA", at positions 29 to 507 of the family's 1533-position model. The record is from RNAcentral.